RNAcentral lists this ribosomal RNA (469 nucleotides) under uncultured bacterium. RNAcentral's name for it is "partial 16S ribosomal RNA". It matches the Rfam family "Bacterial small subunit ribosomal RNA", at positions 28 to 508 of the family's 1533-position model. The record is from RNAcentral.
GACGAACGCUGGCGGCGUGCUUAACACAUGCAAGUCGAACGGAAAGGCCCUGCUUUUGUGGGGUGCUCGAGUGGCGAACGGGUGAGUAACACGUGAGUAACCUGCCCUUGACUUUGGGAUAACUUCAGGAAACUGGGGCUAAUACCGGAUAGGAGCUCCUGCUGCAUGGUGGGGGUUGGAAAGUUUCGGCGGUUGGGGAUGGACUCGCGGCUUAUCAGCUUGUUGGUGGGGUAGUGGCUUACCAAGGCUUUGACGGGUAGCCGGCCUGAGAGGGUGACCGGCCACAUUGGGGCUGAGAUACGGCCCAGACUCCUACGGGAGGCAGCAGGGGGGAAUAUUGCACAAAGGGCGGAAGCCUGAUGCAGCAACGCCGCGUGCGGGAUGACGGCCUUCGGGUUGUAAACCGCUUUCGCCUGUGACGAAGCGUGAGUGACGGUAAUGGGUAAAGAAGCACCGGCUAACUACGUGC